AGAAUCAACGCUGGCGGCGUGCCUAACACAUGCAAGUCGAACGAGAAAGGGGAGCAAUCCCUGAGUAAAGUGGCGCACGGGUGAGUAACACGUGACUAACCUACCCUGGAGUGGGGGAUAACUGAGGGAAACCUUAGCUAAUACCGCAUAAUACCUAUGGGUCAAAGGAGCAAUUCGCUUUGGGAGGGGGUCGCGGCCGAUUAGUUAGUUGGCGGGGUAAUGGCCCACCAAGACAGUGAUCGGUAUCCGGCCUGAGAGGGCGCACGGACACACUGGAACUGAAACACGGUCCAGACUCCUACGGGAGGCAGCAGUGGGAAUUUUGCGCAAUGGGGGAAACCCUGACGCAGCAACGCCGCGUGGAGGAUGAAGUACUUCGGUACGUAAACUCCUUUCGAUCGGGACGAUAAUGACGGUACCGGAAGAAGAAGCCCCGGCUAACUUCGUGCCAGCAGCCGC
This 459-nucleotide ribosomal RNA is filed under the name uncultured bacterium. Its description in RNAcentral is "SSU rRNA". It matches the Rfam family "Bacterial small subunit ribosomal RNA", at positions 26 to 518 of the family's 1533-position model. The record is from RNAcentral.